GAUGAACGCUGGCGGCGUGCCUAAUACAUGCAAGUCGAGCGAACGGACGAGAAGCUUGCUUCGCUGAUGUUAGCGGCGGACGGGUGAGUAACACGUGGAUAACCGACCUAUAAGACUGGGAUAACUUCGGGAAACCGGAGCUAAUACAGGAUAAUAGUUUGAACCGCAUGGUUCAAAAGUGAAAGACGGUCUUGAUGUCACUUAUAGAUGGAACCGCGCUGCAUUAGCUAGUUGGUAAGGUAACGGCUUACCAAGGCAACGAUGCAUAGCCGACCUGAGAGGGUGAUCGGCCACACUGGAACUGAGACACGGUCCAGACUCCUACGGGAGGCAGCAGUAGGGAAUCUUCCGCAAUGGGCGAAAGCCUGACGGAGCAACGCCGCGUGAGUGAUGAAGGUCUUCGGAUCGUAAAACUCUGUUAUUAGGGAAGAACAUAUGUGUAAGUAACUGUGCACAUCUUGACGGUACCUAAUCAGAAAGCCACGGCUAACUACGUG
Molecule: ribosomal RNA, 497 nt
Filed under: uncultured bacterium
Lineage: Bacteria
Description: partial 16S ribosomal RNA
Rfam family: Bacterial small subunit ribosomal RNA
Source: RNAcentral